Molecule: non-coding RNA, 85 nt
Filed under: unclassified sequences
Description: c-di-GMP sequence
Rfam family: c-di-GMP-II-GAG riboswitch aptamer
Source: Rfam by way of RNAcentral
AUGUUUACGGGGGGCUCUGACACGCGGGCCACACGUCGGCCGGCGGGACCGCUCCGAGCCACUGGCGAGACCGGCCCGCGAUGGC